Molecule: small RNA, 142 nt
Filed under: Flavobacterium lacus
Lineage: Bacteria; Pseudomonadati; Bacteroidota; Flavobacteriia; Flavobacteriales; Flavobacteriaceae
Description: Flavo-1 RNA
Rfam family: Flavo-1 RNA
Source: RNAcentral
UUUUAGCCCUGAUAGUAGCGGAAAUAUUUUGCUGUUUUUCCUUGAUUUUGUUGGCAAAAAAAAGCGACCAACGGAAGCUCUUUUUUUGACUUACAAAAUCUGUAAAAACAGCAAAAUAUUGAAGCGGAUAGCAGGAUUAGCU